Molecule: ribosomal RNA, 468 nt
Filed under: uncultured bacterium
Lineage: Bacteria
Description: partial 16S ribosomal RNA
Rfam family: Bacterial small subunit ribosomal RNA
Source: RNAcentral
GACGAACGCUGGCGGCGUGCUUAACACAUGCAAGUCGAACGGAAAGGCCCUGCUUUUGUGGGGUGCUCGAGUGGCGAACGGGUGAGUAACACGUGAGUAACCUGCCCUUGACUUUGGGAUAACUUCAGGAAACUGGGGCUAAUACCGGAUAGGAGCUCCUGCUGCAUGGUGGGGGUUGGAAAGUUUCGGCGGUUGGGGAUGGACUCGCGGCUUAUCAGCUUGUUGGUGGGGAAGUGGCUUACCAAGGCUUUGACGGGUAGCCGGCCUGAGAGGGUGACCGGCCACAUUGGGACUGAGAUACGGCCCAGACUCCUACGGGAGGCAGCAGUGGGGAAUAUUGCACAAUGGGCGGAAGCCUGAUGCAGCAACGCCGCGUGCGGGAUGACGGCCUUCGGGUUGUAAACCGCUUUCGCCUGUGACGAAGCGUGAGUGGCGGUAAUGGGUAAAGAAGCACCGGCUAACUACGUG